CAGAUUCUGCCUUGAAGUUUGGUUGGUGUUUCCUGUUUUACAUGGGCAUUCUUGCUGCAAUUGAUGUCUUUCCUGACCAUGCGGUGGUAGGGGGUAUUAAGUUUUUAAAACGUAAUAUCAGCAUCGUUCAUUUGUUUUAGUGGGAGAGAAGAGGCAAAGCAACUUACACUCAGCAACAUAUUGAUGAGGUCAGAAUGGAGUGGGGAAAGUAUAGUUAAAACUUAUAUGUAAGCAAUACUAUGUUGCGAGAAGUAUUUUGGUAACCUUGAUUUUACAAGAUACAUUACUUGCUAGAUUGAGGCUUUUUUGGUUGAGAUGGCCGGAUUGUGAUGUCUACACAUGAAUUUGUAGUUUCGGUAUGUUUUGGAUGUGGCAAUGUAUGAGAAUGAUGUGCUAUAUAGCAGCUACUAAAUGAUGA
Rosa chinensis is the source of this 418-nucleotide long non-coding RNA. RefSeq lists it as uncharacterized. NCBI's taxonomy places the organism in Eukaryota, Viridiplantae, Streptophyta, Magnoliopsida, Rosales, Rosaceae. The transcript has 3 exons. The record is from RefSeq and is a predicted model, not a curated record.